Non-coding RNA from Hydra vulgaris (swiftwater hydra), 603 nucleotides. NCBI's taxonomy places the organism in Eukaryota, Metazoa, Cnidaria, Hydrozoa, Anthoathecata, Hydridae. The record is from RefSeq and is a predicted model, not a curated record.
UAUUUUUAAGUAACGCAUUUAUUUUUCGAAUAUAAAAGAAGUCUUUUUACAACGACAAAAAGACACGUACUAGCUAAUUUUUAUUUUUGUUAUCAAUUACUUGAAAAUUGUCGUAAUAUUGAUACAGGUAAUGAAAUUUUUACAGAUAAUGGAAGAAACGGUUUGAAACUGAAUAUAUGCUAUACUAUGUAUAUAUAUAUACUUGAUAUACUAUUAGUAUAGUAUUGCUAUAUCAAGAACCAAGUUCUAACAAUUUCAAAGAUUUAGACAUCUCAUGUAGAAUCGAAUUUUUCAAUAGGAAAACCUGUUAAUGAUACAUAGAACAAUUAUCCUGGUAAUUCUUUGAAUUCAAUGUCUUUAUUCGACAAUAUUGUGCUAUUCUAUAAUGGGACCAGUACAUUAGUUAACCUUCUUGAAAUAUUGCCAUAUCAAGGUUUGGAACUUCCCAAAGAUGCAAGGAGAAUUUUAAAAAAACCUAAUGAAAAGCAACUUAUAGACAGAAGUGUCAACUACAUUAACUGUCAGUCGAUAUAUAUGUUUUGGUCAAAUACAUGUUUGUAUUUGGUCCUCCAAAAUUUGAAAAUUUGUGAUUCAAAAUUUUGC